GACAGAGGGGCCGAGCGUUAGGCGGAAUCACUGGGCUUAAAGCGUGUGUAGGCGGAUGGCUAAGUCCCUUGUGAAAUCCCACGGCUCAACCGUGGAACUGCUUGGUAUACUGGGUGUCUUGAGCUAUCUAGGGGCAACUGGAACAAACGGUGGAGCGGUGAAAUGCGUAGAUAUCGUUUGGAACGCCAAUGGUGAAAACAGGUUGCUGGGGAUAUGCUGACGCUGAGACACGAAAGCCAGGGGAGCAAACGGG
This 253-nucleotide ribosomal RNA is filed under the name uncultured bacterium. RNAcentral describes it as "partial 16S ribosomal RNA". It matches the Rfam family "Bacterial small subunit ribosomal RNA", at positions 524 to 776 of the family's 1533-position model. The record is from RNAcentral.